AUAGCUAAUACCGCAUAAAAUUGAUUAUCGCAUGAUAAUCAAUUGAAAGGUGCAAAUGCAUCACUACCAGAUGGACCUGCGUUGUAUUAGCUAGUUGGUGGGGUAACGGCUCACCAAGGCGACGAUACAUAGCCGACCUGAGAGGGUGAUCGGCCACACUGGGACUGAGACACGGCCCAGACUCCUACGGGAGGCAGCAGUAGGGAAUCUUCGGCAAUGGACGGAAGUCUGACCGAGCAACGCCGCGUGAGUGAAGAAGGUUUUCGGAUCGUAAAGCUCUGUUGUAAGAGAAGAACGAGUGUGAGAGUGGAAAGUUCACACUGUGACGGUAUCUUACCAGAAAGGGACGGCUAACUACGUGCCAGCAGCCGCGGUAAUACGUAGGUCCCGAGCGUUGUCCGGAUUUAUUGGGCGUAAAGCGAGCGCAGGCGGUUAGAUAAGUCUGAAGUUAAAGGCUGUGGCUUAACCAUAGUACGCUUUGGAAACUGUUUAACUUGAGUGCAAGAGGGGAGAGUGGAAUUCCAUGUGUAGCGGUGAAAUGCGUAGAUAUAUGGAGGAACACCGGUGGCGAAAGCGGCUCUCUGGCUUGUAACUGACGCUGAGGCUCGAAAGCGUGGGGAGCAA
Molecule: ribosomal RNA, 624 nt
Filed under: uncultured bacterium
Lineage: Bacteria
Description: bacterial SSU rRNA
Rfam family: Bacterial small subunit ribosomal RNA
Source: RNAcentral